RNAcentral lists this ribosomal RNA (157 nucleotides) under Combretum indicum (Rangoon creeper). RNAcentral describes it as "5.8S ribosomal RNA". It matches the Rfam family "5.8S ribosomal RNA". From Rfam's summary of the family: 5.8S ribosomal RNA (5.8S rRNA) is a component of the large subunit of the eukaryotic ribosome. It is transcribed by RNA polymerase I as part of the 45S precursor that also contains 18S and 28S rRNA. Functionally, it is thought that 5.8S rRNA may be involved in ribosome translocation. Lineage: Eukaryota; Viridiplantae; Streptophyta; Magnoliopsida; Myrtales; Combretaceae. The record is from RNAcentral.
AUCUAAACGACUCUCGGCAACGGAUAUCUCGGCUCUCGCAUCGAUGAAGAACGUAGCGAAAUGCGAUACUUGGUGUGAAUUGCAGAAUCCCGUGAACCAUCGAGUCUUUGAACGCAAGUUGCGCCCGAAGCCUUGGCCGAGGGCACGCCUGCCUGGG